AUGAUGUCUUCCAAGAGCCCAAGACGCUGCUGCCACAUCGCGUGUUCGAUCACGCAAUUCUGCUUGAGCCGAGGCUCCGCCACCCAACACACUCUCGUACCGCUAUUCACCACUCACGAACGACGAGAUCAAGCGUCAGCCGUUUGCUGCUUCGGUGUUCCUCGUCAAGAAGGACGAUACCUGGCGGUUCUGCAUCGACUACCGCUGCCUCAACACAUUACCGUGAAGAAAAAGUUUCUGAUGCCGAUCGUCAACGAGCUCCUUAACGAAUUGGCCGGUGAGCGCUAUUUCUCCAAGGUCGACCUUCGUGCCAAGUAUCAUCAGAUACGCACGUGCCCAGGCGACGAGGCCGAGCCGGCGUUCAAGACCGACCAUGGCCACUUCCAAUUUCGGUGA
RNAcentral lists this ribosomal RNA (396 nucleotides) under Triticum aestivum (bread wheat). RNAcentral describes it as "partial small subunit ribosomal RNA". The record is from RNAcentral. Lineage: Eukaryota; Viridiplantae; Streptophyta; Magnoliopsida; Poales; Poaceae.